Molecule: long non-coding RNA, 284 nt
Organism: Heterocephalus glaber (naked mole-rat)
Lineage: Eukaryota; Metazoa; Chordata; Mammalia; Rodentia; Bathyergidae
Source: Ensembl
UCUUCCUGUUUCACAUUAUCUAUUAUCUGGAUCUGGAAAAAAUGAAAUCAGAAAUAAUUUCUCAGAUAACAGGAGAAAUUGUGCCCCUAGUGCAAGACACGAUUAAUAAAUCUAGAGAGGAGCUCAGGAACAUGAUGGAAUCCCAACAUAGGAAACAAAUGGAAUCCAUAAAACAGAUGCAAAUAGAUUUCCAAGAGAUUAAAAACUCCAUCGAAUGUCUGCACAGCAGAAUGAACCAAUGUGAGGAUAGAAUUUCAGAUAUAGAAGAUAAGAUUGCAAUUAGU